Long non-coding RNA from Oreochromis aureus, 3191 nucleotides. The record is from Ensembl. NCBI's taxonomy places the organism in Eukaryota, Metazoa, Chordata, Actinopteri, Cichliformes, Cichlidae.
UUUUGUUCUAUUUUCUUUUGUUUAUUUUACUAGUUACGUGUGUAGUGUGGUUUUUUUUUUUUUUUUGUCGUCUUUUUAUUUUCAAAUGAAGUUGCUUGUGCAGCACCAAAGACUGUAAUUCAUUUCUUGAGCAAGGUAGCUAUUCUGUUUGCAUAGACCUCAGUUGUACUGUAGUUGUAGAAUGGGGUUAAAUUAAAACAAAAAAAAGUUGUAUUUAAAAAAACAAAACAAACAAAAAAAAAACCAGCUGAGGUUUUGUCUAGCUUAUUGGGCAAUUAAUAAGUCGUAUCAUUUCUUUCUUGAAUGUAUCAUAGAUAAGCUGCUAUAUGAUUGCCACUUCAAUAGCUGUGAAAUUAGGUGAUUUCUCUCUGAGUUUAAACCUAGCGUUGCUAUUUUUGUAUAGGUCCCUAAUUAUCUGAAAUAGAAGUGGUUUUGAUUUUUGUGUUUUGCGUUCAUAUUUGAAGUGUCAUUGUAACUACUGUAUUGCUGAUGAUGAACAUUAGUUGCAUUUGUCGUUUCUCGGGGUGCGUGUUUUUUGCAUCAGUAUUUUAUCCUUAUUAACCUUUUGGGCUCGUCACUGCAUAUAAAUGAUGUAUCGAUGUAACUUAAUUUUUGUAUGUUUUCAUAUUGACGUUUUGUACACAUCUGAAGCUGUAGCUUGCAGGAUUGAGUUAACUUUUUUAUUGUGCGUAAACGGUGUGCUACCAGUACUCUCGUGGGUUAUGAGGGCACUGCGAGGGGGGGAAAAAGAAAACAAAAACAUUGUGUUCCAUUGGAAAACUUCUGUGUUGUUUCCACCAGUCACACACAAACGCACUUGCCACUAAGCACUUAUAGAGGUAGGGAGGUUUGUAAGGGUUUGGGUGAUUAGACUGUAAGAGAGAAAUUUAGCCCAAUUUUUCUGUUCUAAAAUGACGUUUUCUGACUUGUUUUUAUUGUUAAAUUGGUUUGAUCAAAGUAUUUAUUGCAGCCCUUUUAUCUGUUCAAUGUUAUAUCUGGCUAGGAUAUCAGUUUCACAGUUUGAUAUUAUAAACUGCCUUGAGUUCAGAUCGCUCUCCCCUUUAUGAGUGUCUAAUAUCAAAACGAUGUUUUGUCGGUGCGAAACAGUUACCGUUGUGAUAUGUCCUUUCUUGAAAUUGAGACAGUGUGAGCAGCACUGUUUAUGUGCCUUGAGAUUCAGAAAGUGAGAAUUCAUGCUGGUGAUUUCUUCCCGAUUUAUUUGAGGAAGGCGUAGAAUUCAGUAACAGUUCCCUACAGUGUAGAAUGGACAAGUUUUUAGCAGACAUUUGACCAAGAGUUUAAAGAGGAAAGUAAGAAAAACAAGAAGCAGAGAAUAAAAACAACUCAAAGUAGGACUUCAUCGUAGUGAGUCUUCUGAUCAGCUUAUACACAUGAACAGCGUAGUGGUGGUUCUCCGCUUGUUUCAGACAGUCGCCACGUAAAACCUCUCUGAUUAAUACACACAUGCGUGCGCUUUGAAUGAUGCCACACUCACUCAAUGGUCUUUGGAUAGUCACUCUGGCUGAACAGCAGAUGCAAUACUUUACAUUGUGCGGUCAUUGCACCACCAAGUGUUCUUAGAUAAUCUCCAUGCUUUACAUUACCUUGCAUGUACACCUUAGAUGCUUCACUUUGUCUGCCUAGAAGCUGACUGCCUAGAGCAGCGCUCCUAUCAUGCAAGCUGAAGCUGAGUGGGAGUAACCAGAGCACGGCUGACAACACUGGCCUUUUAAAAAUCAGAAGCUAUGUUCUGCGUUCUGGACGAAAAGAGCUCUGUCGAGGAGGUUGUCAUCUUCUCUGUCAGUCAUGAGUGCAAUACUCCACAUUUCGACACUGACAUUGAUAUGGUUGUAUGUUUUUUUUUUUUUUUUUUUAUAGCUUUUGUCUGACUUGUAUGCUUUACUGAUCAUACUCAAAUAUCCCUUUGGGAAAGAAAGCUUAUGAUGACAAGGCAUGGACUUGGCAGAUUAGUGCUUGAAAUAGUUCCCCCAAUAAUAAGCAUGUGAAAUGUAAUCUGUGUUUUGAUUCCUUCAAAGGUAUUCACCAGCAAUGCGCCUGCAUAAACUCUCCCGUACUUGUUUAGGAAAAGAAUGGAUGCAAGAGGAGAGAAAUGUUAAAACUGUUUUUAAUUUUCCACAAGAUUGACACCUUGAUUUCUUUUCUUUUCUUUUCUUUGAGGAUUCAUGUAACAUUUAACAGAUAAAACAGUCAUUUGUAAAAUUACUUCUAUUAAUGUUAUGACUUUGAUAUGGAAAAAAAAAAAUCCUCUGCUGCGGUAUUAUCCUUUAGAGAUCUUAAUUCAGGGUGUGUAUUAGUCUAAUUGUGCUACUGUGUAACUGUUUGAUUUUAAUAUGAGAUUUGUUUUACUCAAGCUCUUAUUUUCAGUUUUCUGGUCACCUGUAUCAAUUUCAGAGUUAAUUCACACUGCAAGUUAUGGAAUCAUCUGUUUGGAUUGCUCAUCAAUUAGACUUGGUAAUGAAAUCUGAACUGUUACUGUUUUAAUACCUGUAGAUUUUUUUUGUGGCUUUUAUUUCCUCCUGUUUUUGGUUCGUUUGCUUUUUUAAUUUUGUGCUACACUAGUUUGCCAUGUAGCAAUUGCACUGUGCAAUAUUUACAGUAUGAGGACUGGGAAAACUAACUCUAUGGAUGUGAUGUCUCUUUACAGUUUGCGAUAGUGUUUCCUCUCUAGUUCUCAGUGAUUUAGGUGUGACCAAGCCUUCUCUACUUUGUCACAUUAAGCGGGUUUUCCAGGUGACUCUUUUGGUGAGUGUCAAAAUAAGACUUUAUGGUGUAUUAUUGUUAAGAUUCACUUUGAAUUAAAAAAAAAAAUCUAUUGAUGCAGUUCUUUCUGAUUUGGUCUGUUCAUUCACAUUAAUGCAGGACCUUUUAUAAGUAAUAUAAACAAUAGGACACAUUGGACUCAUUUGUAUUUGUUUUAGUGUGUGAAUGGCAGGAAAAUUAGAGUUUGCAAGGUAGUAUCUUUACAUUUAUUGUCAAAAAAAAAAAAAAAAACUAUCCCUUUAGAAUUGUUUCAGGAGAAAAUUGCUCAAUUAUCAGACAUGAGAACCUGGAAUCAGACGAAAAAAGAGUUUUCUGUCAGUUAAUCUGUUUCAUUUAAUCUCCAAACAUGAAUAUGUUCGGAUGAAACUGAAAUUUGAACCUGAACACAAUAAACUGCACCUACUGAAGAA